AUAGAAGAAGAAAAAAAAAAAACUCAGUGAGCAAAAUGUUCGAAUUCGAGGAUUUUUCGCAGGAUCCUAGUUAAAGUAGGUACAGUUGGGCGCGACACGUGGUAUGGUGAGGACAUAAAUUCCUUUAAUCCCAAAAUCGUUAAAAAAAACAACAACAACAAUAAAAUCAUACAAAAAAAUACAGUGUUGCUUUUUUUUUUUAAUUUGAAAAUUCAAAAAAGGACGAAAAAACAAUACUAGUUUUAAUUCGUUCAAAAUAUGUGUUUAUCCAUCACCCCGAGCGCGUAACGUCUUCAAAAAAAUUAUAAAAAUAAUUAAGAUUUUCCUCUCUCUCUCUCGCCUCUCCGGUUAAAGCUCUUUUUUGAACUCAAUCUUAAAAAAAAAAUGAAAAUAAAAACACCAACAACAACAACAUCGUAAGCCAUAAGACCAAAACGACAUCACGAAGAGAAAAAAGCAACCGAAUUUACAACAACAUCCCUCCAAUACGCCUCCGCACACCGCUCUGUUGCUGCUCCCUGCACCGCACCACACCGCCACCGCACCAUUUUUUGGAUACCAUUGAAACGAAACGAAACGAGAAAAAAGGAUGUAAUCCCAAAUGGAUGCUUUACGCUUUAAGUUAUAAGCAAAAAACCUCUCCCUUAUAAUAGAUGAAGGAGUUUUCCACCAUUUGCCACGAGACAUCGUGUGCUUCGUGCACCAGCAGCAUCUCAUCUCAAUCGGUUACUCUCGAUGAACUUAGGCGGUGGUGUUUUUUGCAAGCAAUGAGAGGGUUGAAUUUAUUUUUUAUUCUUCAAAAGAAAAAAAACUACCCAAUACAAAAUUGUUAUCUUUUUUUUUUUUUUGAAAAAUAUAUAAUUUCUCAAGGAAUGUUAUUUUAAUUAAAUCGCGAAUUGUAAUGGUAUUCGGACAGUGUUAUCCUUGGAAAGGAUGUGUGUAAUUUUGUGAUUUUUUUUUUAUAUUUGUUGGUUAUUUUUUAUCGAGUGUGUGCUUUUGGGCUAUAUCAUCAGGUUUAUAGAGAUGUUUUUCCAAUAAAAAAAAAUUUAAAAAUAGCAUACACAUAUACAUAUAAACACAACAUCCACUAGCACACGCAUACAAACCCACUAUCAGCAGCCACCUUUUGUAUUAAACAUAAAUGUAUAUAUACAUAAAAUUCAAGUGAUGAUCCUGGUCUCCUCCGACUCUGACUCUAACUCUGACUCCGACUCCAGUUCACACAGAAUUUCCCCCUUCACACUGCCACACACUCAUACCGUGUUUUCGUGUCUCUUCUAUGAAAAUAGUGGUACAUGCGUAAAUGUAAUAAUGAGUAUGCUGCUGCUACUGCUGGAUGGAUAAAUCUUCUAGGUGGUGCGUCUCUCAAUCUACGAAUCCUCUUGUAUUCCGUUUUCGUCCUUUCUUAUACACGUAGAAUUUCCCGUAUUUUUAUAUUUGAUUUUCCAAAUCGUCUAAAAAAAAAAAAAAGUUCAUACAACAACAAAAAAACUGUGUAUAAAUUUAAAAAAAAAUCGUAAUUUUUUAAGUUUUUUUUUUUUAAUUUUUGAAGAAAAUAUUUGAUUGAAACUGCACUUUUUUCGGUAUAAUAUCUCAAGUAAUUCGUCGUCGUGUCGUCGCGGGUAAAAUAAAAUAUAUAAAGGCUUUUCGCAAAGUUAACGUGUAUAGAGGAGAUCUAUCUCAAAAGAUUGCCAUCUUUAUAGAAAAUGUGAAUAAAUCUCGUUUUUUUUUUUCAUUACGUGGAAAAUUGAUAGGAGAUAUGAAUAUUUAUUAUUCUGUAUUCCCUUGUACUUGAUUUUUUGUGAAUUUAUUUCUUUUAGUUAUAUCCCUUUUCUAUGAUAAAUAAGAAAAAUAGAAAAUAUGACAAAAAGUGUUCGAAAUUGUAUUUUUGAGUGUAAAUAUAACAUACACAUAAAGUUGAGUACAUACAGAUGAAAAAAAUUAAAUUAAAAGAAAAAAAAAAAUAAAGUGUAGCAUCCGUAUAAAAAUAGAAAACAUAAUAAAUAAUAUAAAAGUUUUAAGACUAGUUUAAUAAUAAUAAAUAUAAAAUAAUUAUUAUUAUUAUCAAUGUGAGUGAGAAAAAAUAUGUUAAAUAUAAGUUAUUAAUAAGGUUUCCUUAUGGGUAAUAAAAAUUAACAAAAUGAAAAAUUAAUAUGAAUUAUUCAAGAAUUAGUGUUGUGGAAAUGGAAAAAUAGAAAAGUAAAAAAAAAAAAAAAUGUGUAUAAAAGGAAAAUAACAGAAAAAUUAUUAAAACAAAAAAAAAAAAGGAAGAAGAAAAAAAAAACAUAACAAUCGAUAUCUUGGAGUAUGGAACGACGAAUUUAAAGGAUAUAAUUCAUGAAACUAUUUUCUAACUUUCAAUAUCAUUACCACCAAAAAUAUGAAGAAGGCAUAACAUUCACACCUAUCCUUCAUGCAAAAACAAAAA
Long non-coding RNA from Episyrphus balteatus (marmalade hoverfly), 2428 nucleotides. RefSeq lists it as uncharacterized. The transcript is spliced from 2 exons. Lineage: Eukaryota; Metazoa; Arthropoda; Insecta; Diptera; Syrphidae. The record is from RefSeq and is a predicted model, not a curated record.